GAUGAACGCUAGCGGCAGGCUUAACACAUGCAAGUCGAGGGGUAUUUGUCUUCGGAUAGAGAGACCGGCGCACGGGUGCGUAACGCGUAUGCAAUCUACCUUUUACAGAGGGAUAGCCCAGAGAAAUUUGGAUUAAUUACCUCAUAGUAUAUAGACCUGGCAUCAGGAUUAUAUUAAAGUCACAACGGUAAAAGAUGAGC
Molecule: ribosomal RNA, 200 nt
Filed under: uncultured bacterium
Lineage: Bacteria
Description: partial 16S ribosomal RNA
Rfam family: Bacterial small subunit ribosomal RNA
Source: RNAcentral